AUGUACCACGCGCACACUGCGGUUCUGCGUGCGCUGUCCGCACCCACUGGCGACUGCUUGCUACGUUUUGUUAGCC
This 76-nucleotide small RNA is filed under the name Xanthomonas oryzae pv. oryzae. Its description in RNAcentral is "sX9 sRNA". It matches the Rfam family "Xanthomonas sRNA sX9". The record is from RNAcentral. Lineage: Bacteria; Pseudomonadati; Pseudomonadota; Gammaproteobacteria; Lysobacterales; Lysobacteraceae.